AUUAGUUAUGGAGUUACUUCCUCACUGAGGAUCUUCUCAAUGGGGGGAUUGGUCAUCAACAUAGUUUUCCUUGUAUGACAAGUACAAGGAUUAAGAACUACAUAAAUUUUAGGCGAUGCUAAUAGACAUGGCUUAGAGACAGCUCUGAAAGAAUCUCACAUGGUGUAUAUAGAUAUUUAUGUGGGAAAGGAAGAAAGAACUGGAUUCGUUUCCUAGUUUUACAUCACUAAGUGAUGAUGUUUUGUAAAAUAUGGAUAUGAAAAGCAUUUGAAGUAGCUUUACGCAG
This 286-nucleotide unclassified non-coding RNA is filed under the name Hevea brasiliensis (rubber tree). Lineage: Eukaryota; Viridiplantae; Streptophyta; Magnoliopsida; Malpighiales; Euphorbiaceae. The record is from RNAcentral.